RNAcentral lists this ribosomal RNA (42 nucleotides) under Lactarius pallidizonatus. Its description in RNAcentral is "partial 28S ribosomal RNA". The record is from RNAcentral. Lineage: Eukaryota; Fungi; Basidiomycota; Agaricomycetes; Russulales; Russulaceae.
UGACCUCAAAUCGGGUGAGGCUACCCGCUGAACUUAAGCAUA